RNAcentral lists this ribosomal RNA (433 nucleotides) under uncultured bacterium. RNAcentral describes it as "partial 16S ribosomal RNA". It matches the Rfam family "Bacterial small subunit ribosomal RNA", at positions 29 to 507 of the family's 1533-position model. The record is from RNAcentral.
AACGAACGCUGGCGGCAUGCCUAACACAUGCAAGUCGAACGAGACCUUCGGGUCUAGUGGCGCACGGGUGCGUAACGCGUGGGAACCUGCCCUUAGGUUCGGAAUAACUCCCCGAAAGGGGUGCUAAUACCGGAUAAUGUCUUCGGACCAAAGAUUUAUCGCCUUUGGAUGGGCCCGCGUUGGUUUAGCUAGUUGGUAGGGUAAAAGCCUACCCAGGCGACGAUCCAUAGCUGGUCUGAGAGGAUGAUCAGCCACACUGGGACUGAGACACGGCCCAGACUCCUACGGGAGGCAGCAGUGGGGAAUAUUGGACAAUGGGCGAAAGCCUGAUCCAGCGAGGCCGCGUGAGUGAUGAAGGCCUUAGGGUUGUAAAGCUCUUUUACCCGGGAUGAUAAUGACAGUACCGGGAGAAUAAGCUCCGGCUAACUCCGUG